RNAcentral lists this ribosomal RNA (240 nucleotides) under uncultured bacterium. RNAcentral describes it as "partial 16S ribosomal RNA". It matches the Rfam family "Bacterial small subunit ribosomal RNA", at positions 92 to 334 of the family's 1533-position model. The record is from RNAcentral.
CGACCGGCGCACGGGUGCGUAACGCGUAUGCAACCUACCUUUAACAGGGGGAGUAACACUGAGAAAUUGGUACUAAUACCCCAUAAUAUCAUAGAAGGCAUCUUUAUGGUUGAAAUUCCGAUGGUUAGAGAUGGGCAUGCGUUGUAUUAGCUAGUUGGUGGGGUAACGGCUCACCAAGGCGACGAUACAUAGGGGGACUGAGAGGUUAACCCCCCACACUGGUACUGAGACACGGACCAG